CACAACCUCUCCAGCUGGGCAUGCGGAUUAUCUGCUGCUGGAAUCAUUCUGUGUGCUUCCCCGAGGCCAAGCGUGACCUGGAAGAGGGUCACAGCCAUUUUAGAGGCUUGGGAGACUUUUUUCGGAGCUGAAGAAUCGGCCGUGAUCAACACGAGACCAGAAUCACUAAAGUGAAACUUUUGCUUUACUGGGACAAUUGACACAGGUGGCCAAAGUUGUACCUUCAUUCUGGUAGCCCAAGUUGGUAGUGUAAGAGUCUCCAAGGUGGUACUGGUUUUGAAGGUGUAGUCAAGUGGACAAGCAAGAGACAUCAUCAGGGAAGGGCCAUGGAGAGCAGCUGAGGCUUGGCAUUGUGAGAGGGCAGCAUGGUUGCUGAAAGUGCAGCAUGGUUGCAGCAGGAGACCCGAGCAUUUUGGAGAUGCCAGGAUCGUGGGAUGGCCACCAAGAACAGCAGCAGCUGUGGAGUGGAGCCUGGAAGAUAAAUUGUGUGUGCUGCAGAGGGCAGAGCCAGAGAAGUGACCCAAGCCCCUUGGAGGAACCCGGGAGAUCAUGAGUGAACCCCAGAUCUUGGACACUGAAUGAUUUACACCACCGGAAUUGGUUUUGCUUUGUUCAGAUUGAGACUGUGCCCUGGCUCUUCCUUCUUGAAGUAAAACAAUAUUUAACCUAAUUUUGAUUUUUUAGGAGCCCACAGCUGAGAAACUUUGAACUUUUAAGAGAUUGUGGAGUUUUAGAGACUGGAUAGUUUUAAAAGAACUUAUAAUGUGGCUGAAUUUAUAAAGAUUGUGGGGCUCUUAAAGUUUUACUUAUGUUUGAUAUUAUGGUAUCAAUAUUAACAUGCCAUCUCUGGGGAUAAGUGACAAAUGAAAGGCUCUAAGUGAAAA
Long non-coding RNA from Mesocricetus auratus (golden hamster), 884 nucleotides. RefSeq lists it as uncharacterized. Lineage: Eukaryota; Metazoa; Chordata; Mammalia; Rodentia; Cricetidae. The transcript is spliced from 4 exons. The record is from RefSeq and is a predicted model, not a curated record.